CGGGGCCAGGCGAGUGCGCAACCGCGGGCUCCUGCUCGCCCCGCCCUUUCACCCUCCGGCCAGCUCAACAGUGCAGCUGCGCCUCAGUGCGCUUGCGUGAGGCAGAAACUGGCGCGUUGCCCUGUGACGGACGGCUGCAGCUCAGUGCGCCUACGCGGCGGAGGCCCUGGCGGGGUGGAGGGUUCCAGCCUGACCCUAAGGAACCCUGGGGCCCCAGACGCUGGCAAAGCUUCUUUGUUUUGGGGUGCGGGGAUCACAGGUGUGUGCCACCGCACCACGUCCAAAGCUCCUUAAAAGAGGGCUCGCAGGUGGUGGCUGAAGACAUCAAGAUGACGGGUUUACGGGGAUAUUCAACUACACCCAGCAGUCUCCGGUGUUCCCCUGCAAGGGCGGCAAACCUAACACACAGCUGGCUGUUUGUUACCAUUGAAAGCUCUGAAAGAUUGCUGUUGCUGCAACCCACCAAGACUUCCCCCAGUGAAAGCCAUCAUGUGGUGGAGACAACUGCCCCUUCCCCAGGUCUGACUAGAACUGCGAUCCUGGUAACCAGGCCCCAGCCCUCCCAGCAGAGCUUCCAGUUCAUGGAUCUGUAGCUAGCAGACCAGUCUGAUCCUCCCCUCACUUCCUCAUUUUGAAAUCUCUUCCCUAUUUUCUCUGACCUUCCUUGUUGACAAUCUGGCUCAGUCCUUGUCAGAGCUGGGUCCCUUUUGCUUUUAGUCCCUUACUGUUUUACUUCCCAUUUAAAGCUUUGCCUGUAAAAUUCAUGCCAAUUGCCUGUUUUAUUUUCCAUUAUCAUAGAUGCAGCGUGCUAGUUGAUGAUAGGACAUUUUUGAGGAUGUAUUUCUUUCUUUUUUUUUUUUUUUGGUACUGGGGAUCGAACUCAGGACUUGUGCUUGCGAGUCAAACAUGGUGCCACUGAGCUAAAUCCCGGGCCCAUAUUUAUGUACAUUGAGAACAUUAAAGACAAAUUCAAAAUUAUCUUAAAUUUAUAUUACUGAGGGGCCAGGGGCCUGGGAUUUAGCUCAGUACUUCUGCCACCUGCCUCACAAGUGCAAGGACCCGAGUUCAAUCCCCCUACCAAAAAAAAAAUCUAUAUUACUGAAAGCAUCGCUUAAAUUCUGUGAGAACCUUGAUCCUUAGUGUCAGGUCUGACUUAAGUGAGUCCUUCACAAAUGAACAGGACAAGCAAACAGGAUGCUUCUAGCAAACAACAGCCUCUUCUCAGUAAAUAGGACAAAUAGACUCAAAAGGAAGUAUAAACUACCCUAGUGCCGGGAAGUCUAGUAAUUUGUACACACUUGAGCAGACCAUCCUGGUGUGGGACUGCAUAACUUUGUAAUCUUAAAUUCCUAGUCUCAACUGUGAUUAAUGUAAAUUAACAGGUGAACAUUUAGUAGUUUUGGGUGAAUAGAUAAAAUUGUCUCACUGUCUGCCCGGAAGGAAUGUUUUGAAAACCUUGGGACAUUCUGUAAGCAUCUGUUAUAGACCCCCACCCUGCCUAUCCCCUUGUAAAAACAGCCUAAACCCCUGAGCUGUUGCCUCUCUGAGCUACUUGGCUCCAGGAGUGCUAUCUGGCCAGACUAAUAAAGGUCUGUUUUCCAACAUGUUGGGUAUGUUCCUUCAUGGGUGAUUCUUGCUGCUCCUCAAGCUCCUGGAGCAAUCGCUAGGCUAUAGGCCCAGUAUCUUGGAGGCCCUUUCAGUUGGUCAAGCUCCUUGGAGUGGUAGUAAGGCCCUAGGUCUUUCACUGGGUCAUCCAAGUCAUAAAUAUUUCACCCAGAUUCCCGAGCUCUUCAAUACCUAUAUAAGCUCAGUUCCUCUUUCAUUUAGCUGCUCUGUCUCUCAGUGUCAGCCCAUCCUCUCAUGGAUGGAGUCUCUCCCAGCCAGCUGCCCCCCACCCCCUCUCUCUUUAUCUCCCAGUGUCAGCCAUCCACACACAGAUGUGAUAAACUCGGCUUUUCCCAGCUAGCUGCUAGAAUCUCCAGAUUUUUAGUCCCUGGUCACUGGAAUAAACUUUCCUUUCAAAAGCCUAUUUUCGACAAGUGGAUUAUUUAUAACAUAGCAACGGCAGAAUGGGGAUUUGGGAAUUGUUGCUGGAAGACAGAGAAUCGUCUGUGCUUACCUGGAUCUGUUACCCGCUCCUAAUCUUGUUCUGUCUGUUUGACCCAGCUAAAUUUCCACCCUGCCCUGAUCUUGUUCAUCUUUGAGUACAAGAUGUCUGGAGGCCACAGGUCCAUCUUCGGGGAUCAGCAGGAACUUCUGGGAUCUAAAAUUGCCGUAAGUGACCCUAGACAACCUCUAAUUUGUUAUACUCUCAUCUGCGUGCUAAAGACACUCCAGUGCUGUGGCAGGUGACCGUUCCCAUGACCAUAAUGGGAAAGAUUCAUAAAAGGAAUGAACAGAAGUGGCGCCUGAAUCCCCAGGAAGACCUCUGCCCCUCCCGGGAAACACAGAUGUUCCUCCCUCCUUACCCUACCCGUCUCCUCUCAGCUCUUUUACCCUGUAUCUAUAACCUCCCAAACCCCAAGGGUAGAAAAGCUGGUUUGUAAGUUUAUCUCCUACCUCUAUUCUUGGC
RNAcentral lists this long non-coding RNA (2572 nucleotides) under Fukomys damarensis (Damara mole-rat). Its description in RNAcentral is "lncRNA (ENSFDAG00000022174.1)". Lineage: Eukaryota; Metazoa; Chordata; Mammalia; Rodentia; Bathyergidae. The record is from RNAcentral.